CCAGCACUCCCUGGUAGGCCAAGGUGUCCUACAGAAAAGCCUUGGGUCCCAUCCGCCAGGGGGUCUGG
Anolis carolinensis (green anole) is the source of this 68-nucleotide regulatory RNA element. It matches the Rfam family "MAT2A 3'UTR stem loop E". Lineage: Eukaryota; Metazoa; Chordata; Lepidosauria; Squamata; Anolidae. The record is from Rfam.